Molecule: unclassified non-coding RNA, 236 nt
Filed under: Hevea brasiliensis (rubber tree)
Lineage: Eukaryota; Viridiplantae; Streptophyta; Magnoliopsida; Malpighiales; Euphorbiaceae
Source: RNAcentral
AACUUGAGAUGAAUUUAAUAGGUUGCGCUAUUUUUCUCUUUGUUUAGAGGGUUGCCACCUCUUAUUUUUGGUGUUGCAUUUCAACAUCCUAUGUACUCGGUAUUGUUUUACAUACCUUUUUUUGUCAGGAAAAAACAAUGACUGAGUUUAGACCAAUCAGUUGCCUUUUUAUGUGAUGGUAUUUCAUUGUAAGAGUUUAAGGACCUUGUCGAUGAGUUUAUUCACUUGUUUCAAAA